AUGAAGCUACGGUCACAUCGGGUGUCCUUUGUGUGGGAGAUAAAGAAGACCAAAGAAACGCCCUGGAAAGGGCUUCCUGUUGGCGGAAAAAACAACCUAAUGUCCGAGAUGAAAAUGCACAUGCCCUUCAUUCAUCAGGCAAGCUUAAAUUGUUUUAUUGUUUUAACCAUGAUAGUCGGUACCGUCAAAACCAUUAAGCUGACAUAUGUUUGGACAACUUUGGUUCAACAGACAACCCAACUAGCUCUAACUAUGCAGCAUUCUCGCAUGAUGCGUCAACAUUUCCUGCUACAAGUACGGUCACAUCUGGUCUCAUUAAUGAAAAUGAAAUACAAGAUGCAAAUGUAA
RNAcentral lists this ribosomal RNA (348 nucleotides) under Triticum aestivum (bread wheat). Its description in RNAcentral is "partial small subunit ribosomal RNA". Lineage: Eukaryota; Viridiplantae; Streptophyta; Magnoliopsida; Poales; Poaceae. The record is from RNAcentral.